GACGAACGCUGGCGGCGUGCUUAACACAUGCAAGUCGAACGGAAAGGCCCUGCUUUUGUGGGGUGCUCGAGUGGCGAACGGGUGAGUAACACGUGAGUAACCUGCCCUUGACUUUGGGAUAACUUCAGGAAACUGGGGCUAAUACCGGAUAGGAGCUCCUGCUGCAUGGUGGGGGUUGGAAAGUUUCGGCGGUUGGGGAUGGACUCGCGGCUUAUCAGCUUGUUGGUGGGGUAGUGGCUUACCAAGGCUUUGACGGGUAGCCGGCCUGAGAGGGUGACCGGCCACAUUGGGACUGAGAUACGGCCCAGACUCCUGCGGGAGGCAGCAGUGGGGAAGAUUGCACAAUGGGCGGAAGCCUGAUGCAGCAGCGCCGCGUGCGGGAUGACGGCCUUCGGGUUGUAAACCGCUUUCGCCUGUGACGAAGCGUGAGUGACGGUAAUGGGUAAAGAAGCACCGGCUAACUACGU
This 467-nucleotide ribosomal RNA is filed under the name uncultured bacterium. RNAcentral's name for it is "partial 16S ribosomal RNA". It matches the Rfam family "Bacterial small subunit ribosomal RNA", at positions 28 to 506 of the family's 1533-position model. The record is from RNAcentral.